This is an RNA transcript of Clarias gariepinus (North African catfish), 1260 nucleotides long. It is a transcript of the gene named RNA binding motif protein 48, with no coding region annotated. The transcript has 6 exons. The record is from RefSeq and is a predicted model, not a curated record. Lineage: Eukaryota; Metazoa; Chordata; Actinopteri; Siluriformes; Clariidae.
UGUGAGAAAACAUGGCGGCGUCCGAGGGCAGUUCUGUUUGGGAUACACCGCGAGUUUACAAACAUCAUGAGCAACAGAAAGUUUGUCAUACAAGACCAAAGUACAGAGAGGGAAGAAGAUUAAAAGCCGUAAAGGUGUACACUAUUAACUUGGAGUCUCGGUUUCUUCUGGUGCAAGGAGUACCUGCUAUCGGUGUAAUGACUGAGCUGGUGCAACUUUUUGCACUUUAUGGUGUGAUUGAGGAAUAUAGAGUUCUUGAUGAAUAUCCUGCUGAAGAAUUCACUGAAGUCUAUCUGAUGAAGUUCCAGAAACUUACAAGCGCAAGAGCUGCUAAGCGGAACACUGAUGAAAAAAGCUUUUACGGGGGGAUACUCCAUGUGUGUUAUGCUCCUGAGUACGAGACUGUAGAAGACAUAAGAAAGAAGCUGCAAGACAGGAGGAGAUACAUAAACAGAGCAUGUAUAAAAUCAGUUACAGAAACAGAAUGUGUAAAGGAACCCACAGGAUUGAAAAAACCUGAAGGAUCAUCGGUAACAGAAUCUACUUUAGGGGGAGAUGGAGACGGUGUUCAAACAGAGACUUCAAAUCCCAGCACUCAUUUGGGCUUUCCACUCUUACCCUUACCACCACAGCACUGUUUAUCUUCUAGAGGAUUUCAAUCACACAGGAUACAAACAAGUGAGGAUAAGAUGGGUUCUCUGCACCAGUUCAUUCCAGCCUUCCCAGAACCUUCAAAAAAGAUCUCUGAUUUGCUAAACACAGUUGACAAGGAAGAACCAAACAGCACAAAAAAAUCCAAAGAUCCUCCAUCCACUGCGCCAAGGUUUAUACCAAGGACGGCACGCUUGGAAAACAGAAAGAGGAAAACAGAAGACAGUACAGACUUGUUGGGAAUUUUGGACAAAAAUGCUCCUUUCGUUGGACCUAAACUACCAGAACAACAAAGAAUGGACAUGGAGGACAAUUCAUUAAACAUAACGGCCAACUUAAUCAGGCAAACAAUGACAAAGUUCGAUUCCGGGUACUGCUAUAUCCAUUCCUAGCUGGGAGUCUAGAGAGCAGGUUGGAAGAUCCUAGGUUCAAACCCCACAACCACCAAGUUGCCGCUGUUGGGCCCUUGAGUAAGGCCCUUAACCCUCAACUGCUCAAAUGUGUAAUGAGGUAAAAAUGUCUCAUCAGUUCCCACAGAGACAAAGACCACCAGUAACACCACCACCACCACCAACACCACAAAGCCCCGGAGAAGAAUUUAAAUCACAC